Molecule: ribosomal RNA, 819 nt
Filed under: Triticum aestivum (bread wheat)
Lineage: Eukaryota; Viridiplantae; Streptophyta; Magnoliopsida; Poales; Poaceae
Description: partial small subunit ribosomal RNA
Source: RNAcentral
AUGACGUCUCUUCAGGAACUAAGAUUCAAAGUUCAAAAUGCUGACAGUUUUGAGAUAAGUCAACUUCAGUCCAUGGAUGAGCUUGUACAACUUGAAAUUUCUCAACUUGAAAAUGUGAAGACUAAAGAAGAGGCGAUGGGAGCCAGGCUGUUCGACAAAGAGUAUCUAGAAAUAUUGUCCUUGUCGUGGGAGGAUAACAGCACGAGCCUUCAACCAGAGGCAGCAAAGGACGUGCUUGAAGGUCUCCAACCACAUCAUGAUCUCAAAAGUCUAGAAAUAACAGGAUAUGGUGGUGCUACCUCCCCAACCUGGCUUUCCAGUACUCUCUCAGUCACCUCACUGCAGAUACUUCAUCUAGAGAACUGCAGGGAAUGGAAAAUUCUUCGAUCUAUUGAAAUGCCUUCCCUUAGGAAGCUAACAUUGAUCAGGAUGUUGAAUUUGAUGGGAAUCUCAGUUCCUUCCUUGGAAGAGUUGACCUUGAUUGAUAUGCCAAAAUUGGAAAAAUGUAUUGGUUCUUAUGGAAUGGAAUUGACUUCCAGUCUAAGUGUUUUGAUGAUGAAGAACUGCCCUCAACUGAAUGAGUUCACUCUUUUCCAGAGUUACUCUUCUUUCGAUGCACAGCAGAAGUCAUGGUUUACGUCUCUUGGUAAACUCUCCAUCGGGCAGUGUCCUCGUAUAAUGAACAACUGGCCAAUCCUCCCACUAAGAGAAAUGAGGGCGCUCAAGGAGUUGGAGUUGAUGGACCUGCAUGAUGUCAGAGAAUUAACAGUUCCUUCUCUGGAGAAGUUGUGUCACAUCCUCUUCCACCUUCUGGUCUAA